UACGUAGGUGGCAAGCGUUGUCCGGAAUUAUUGGGCGUAAAGAGCUCGUAGGCGGCCAUGCGUGUCUUCCGUGAAAUCCCUCGGCUUAACUGAGGACGUGCGGAAGAAACUGCAAGGCUCGAGUCCGGGAGAGGAGGGUGGAAUUCCCAGUGUAGCGGUGAAAUGCGUAGAUAUUGGGAGGAACACCGGUGGCGAAGGCGGCCCUCUGGACCGGUACUGACGCUGAUGCGCGAAAGCGUGGGGAGCAAACAGG
This 253-nucleotide ribosomal RNA is filed under the name uncultured bacterium. RNAcentral describes it as "partial 16S ribosomal RNA". It matches the Rfam family "Bacterial small subunit ribosomal RNA", at positions 524 to 776 of the family's 1533-position model. The record is from RNAcentral.